This is a long non-coding RNA of Dromaius novaehollandiae (emu), 3684 nucleotides long. RefSeq lists it as uncharacterized. NCBI's taxonomy places the organism in Eukaryota, Metazoa, Chordata, Aves, Casuariiformes, Dromaiidae. The transcript has 2 exons. The record is from RefSeq and is a predicted model, not a curated record.
GCCGCGGGCGCGUGCCAGGCGCGCGGCGCCCCCUCGGGCACCGCCGGCCCCUGUGGCCGUUACCCUCCGCUCCCGCUGCGCCCGCUCAGAGCCUGGGGCCGCUGCCACCGCAAAACGCGUCGCUCCAGCCCAUCUCCCUCGACACGCUCGCGCCACGGUGCCCCCGGCUAUCGGCAACCGCCCGGUGCCCCGCGGCGCCCUCGCACCUUCCCGCCCCGCGGCCGCCAUUUCCCGCCCGCCCAGAUCGCGACCUCCCGGCCCUGCCCGGCCCGGCCGACUGCGGAGCCUCCUGUCAGGCGCUGCCGCUACACCCCACAACGUCCCUCAAAGCUUGCGCUCCCCGCGGAAGUGACUGAGUGAAAGGCGCGUCCUCGGGAGCCCAACCCGAACCAGUUCUUCUAAACCUACUGUGAUGAUUGCCUAGCUCGUUUGGGGCAGAUACCUCAGAAGCAAUUAGAUCACAGCUCCUGUCUGGAACAGCAUGUGAAUGGGAUUUCAGUUUCCUGAAGCUAAAGGUAUGGCUAAUUGCUUAGCUGGAGACUGUCUGCAUCAGAAACUCAGAGUCAGCAGUAUUUACAAUAAAAAGUACAUUGAAAGAGAGUGGAAGAUAUAUGAUGGUUGUGCAGGGAGUUUCUGUGAUCAUGUGCUUAAACUGGCCGCUUCACACACACAAUGCUGAAGAUGCAAAUUAGUAGAUCAGUGCACGUUCAUGCUGAGCUAAGUUAAAUCAAUAUUAAAAGACCACACGAUAUGUAUUAAACGUACAGAACUUUGGUUAAAAUAAUAUUCACAAAUCAUUUUUAGAAAAGUUAUAAACACACAUUAAGUGCAAAACUGACUUCAAACAGCUUCUAUGUGUAUAACCAUGACAUGGUUGUAAGUCUCAUUACUUUGAAACUACCAGAGUGGGAAAAAGAUAUUCAUUAGACUUCCCCAAAGCAGGUAGUUGUCCCUUUGUGAUCAUAUCUUUUCCCAGUCCUCAAAACAGCAGUAAUGGUACCUCAUCUGCUACUGCCUAUUUUCAUUUCCAAACUGACAUUUUGGAGUUGCAUCACACAGUGGUCAUGGCAAUAUACAUUUGCAGAGAAAAUAAAAGACAUUUUCCUGAAGGCUUCUUUUAGAUAAAGCUUUUCCCUGCCCAAAUCCAUUAAAAUCUGGAAAAAGAAGUGACUAUUUGAACUUCCCAUCAUUUCUUCAUAAAUGUUGCUUAGUACUGAAAAACUGAGGUAAUAAAACCUCAAAAAUAGGUGCAGAUAGAAGGCAGUUAAAUGUGUACAGAAAGAAGAAAAAUUUACCUGGUUAUUCCUUUAAUUCCUUCAGACCCUAUUUCUAGCAAUUUUACUCACAAUGAACACUCUUUACUCCAAAAAGUAGUUUCAUUUAUGUUAGGCAGUCAAUCAGUGUAAACAGGGUUAAUAUACAGGAUACCAGAAUAGAUUAUUAGGGCUGAUGUAGUGAUGAUCCCUUUAAUUGCUGAAUUGUGGCUGCAUUUUUCGCUGUUUUCAAACACAGGAAUCUCCUGCCAAGCAAUCUCAGUAAUCUGGAUACAUCAUCAAUUGUUUCCCAUUGACUGUGGUUCUUUAAAUCUGUGAAUCAACUCAAAAUUGUAGAGUUUAAAUUCUCCACCAACUGCUAAUUAAUAUCUAUCCUAAGUAUCUAAUAAUUUUGGAGUAUUAUUAAAAUAGAUGCUGUCUAUGCGUUUUCCCUCCUCUUUUUCUACCCUUUCUCACUAGGCAAAAUUCUUGUUCAGCUUACAUGCAUUUGACAUUACUGACUGUACAAGACAAUGAGGGAUAAAAUAAUGCAGAUAAUCGCAUAGCCAAAUCUCAACAGAAAAAUGUGUCCCAGCUAAGCACACAUGGACUAAUCAACUUUUUGUUAGCAUAGAAAUGGUCUCGGAAACAUUAAACGACUAUUUUUCCAUUUUCCCCACCCCUCAUUCCUCUCUAGUCUUUGUGGCUCUUUGUUAAAAUCAGUCCUCCAAUUGCAUUCACAACAGCAGGUACAAUUUGCAUUUCAGUAUGCAUGCAACUUUGAUGCUUAGUUAUCAUAAAGAGCUGAUUUCUUCCACUUUGUACUGUGAACACUGCUUCAGGCUCAUAAAGAGGCUUUAUUGUAGUAAUGAAAUGUUCUUGUAUAGUACAGUCUCUCCUAGGUUUUGUCUGUCCUAGGAGUUCAUGCAGAAACUUACCCUUAAUUCUGACAGUGGUGAAGCCAGUUGCAGAAUUGGUCAUUUUCAUUUAUACUGAUUCUGGACUGGGUUAAAUAACUGUGCUCAAAACCCCAGUGGACAUUUGACUUCUGGCUCACCCUGAACAUUAGUCUUGAAUGGAAAUAGUGCACGAAGCUGUGAAGCAGACACAAAAAUGAAACUUUUCUAAACUGCCUGAGAGAAAUGUCUCAAAAUGCUCCCUGAGAAGGUUUUCAAGCUCUACUGUUGAGAUUAUUGCCUGAGCUGAAUAAAGCAGUUGUUCAUAAUCAAGAAAAUGCUAGAAAGUUAAAGACCUUCUAAACAUGAAAACUAGAGGAUGGACUACAGUGAAUUAUAUUUCAGAUAGUAAAUAGUUGUAUGACAUUUUAUCUCCAUAAAAUAUAUCCUCAACUCACAUUAAUUUCAUCUGACUACAACUUUUGGGUGUGUCUGCGAAUGUGAAGGAUAUGCGUCUGCAGAUACGCUAUCUGUCCUGAUGCCACAAGGCUUUGUACGGAAAAAAAGAGUGGAAAGAUUGGGUCUGAAACCAGAAUAAAUUGGAUUUGUAUGAGACUGAUUCUCAUAAGUCAAAAAAGGAUCCUGAAAACAAGAUUUGCUAUACAGAUGUUCUGGAUAACAGAAAUUCUUUUUCUGUCCUCCUGCACUGAAAUCUGUGGAAAAAAGACAGCAUGGCUCUUUCUUGGAACAGCUACUUCUAAAUAGAAGGAUGCCAGGUCUUCACUGAAGAGGCAGAAGAGUCCCAAACCCUUCAAGGAGAGGAAGAAAUCAUCUCCAUGGUGACUGUCUAAAUUCCCCCUGUGCAGCAAGAAUCAUCUGGAAACUUUGGUUUCCCCCAAACCUCGAAAAACACAUCUUUCUUGCUUCUCUUUUUUGCUCCUAGUUCACACAUAAUUUUCUUGAUGGAGAGGAAUAUGUAAACUCUAGAUAUUAUAAAACAAUCUCAUACUAAUGAGGAAAUGGAGUCGGCUAACAGAUCUUUCCUUCACUAAAGGUUAUAGUUUUGUGCUUUCCAUAGUGAUUAUGAGAGAGCUAAUUUAUGAAUGAAUGGCUGAGCCACAAGUGAAUUAAUGUACCACAGUAAGGGAGCGCGAUAUGCAGAGGAGAGGGUGGAGGAAGAAAAUGGAGUUCAGCAUAUCAUUUCUUUCUCAUAAGAACUGAUGCUCAGCUUAGAGAGGAAAACCACACUAAUGAUGCAGCUGAUAUCUUAUUAGAAAACAUCUGAACUGUGACCAAUUUUUCUUGACAAGAAUUUUUAUUCUGUAUAAAAGUAAGAUGCUUAGUCACUUGGAAAAUACGGGCUAAAUCAGUGAUGUAAUUUCAUUCAGUGGUGGAAUUUCAAAGAGUUUUUUCCUUUUUUAAUCUCUUGAACCAGCCCAUUAAUAAGCGUCUUUUUCAUCAACAUCAAAAGAGAGUGAGAGCACAGCGCCUAGAGGAUAAACAAGGAAAUAAAACCUUUUUUUACUGUUUUGAAA